Molecule: RNA transcript, 1477 nt
Organism: Quercus robur (English oak)
Lineage: Eukaryota; Viridiplantae; Streptophyta; Magnoliopsida; Fagales; Fagaceae
Exons: 3
Source: RefSeq, a predicted model, not a curated record
CCCACUCUCCUAUAUCUCUCCCUUAUCUCCACGCGGACCACGCCAAGCCUCAGACUUCCAUUCUCUUUUGAUUUUUUUUUGUUUUUUUCCUUUCUUUCUUUUUCUCCCUUAAAUCCACUCCUCCAUCUCUCUUCUUUUCUUUUUCUUUCACUCUUCUUUCACUUCACGCCUGAAUUGAUUAUUUUCUCUUCCUCUCUAUUUUGAUUUUAUUUCUUUUGUUUUAUUUGUGGUGGUGUUAAUGUUUGUGGCUUUUGGAUUUGGGUGUUGCAGCUUAUUGAUUUUGUUCAAAUUUAUAAAUGGUGUUUGAAGCCAUUGGUUGUAUAGUUGCAGGUUGGUCUGUGGCGGCUGAAUGUGUUGGGGUGGAGUUCUUAUUUUAUUUUUUUAAUUUUUGCAUGUGAGCAUGUUGUUUGAUUUUGAAUUUUUUUUAGGUGGAUUUGUGCUUCAUUUUGAAUUUACUAGGAUAGCUAUAGUGUUUGUACUUGGAGUUGCUUUUUUUUUUUUUUUUUUAAUUUUUGGAUGUGAGCAUGAUGUGUUUGAAUUUAAUUUUUUUAGGUGGGUUUGUGUUUCAUUUUGAAUUUGCUUGGAUAGCUAUAGUGUUUGUAUUUUGUUUUGUUUUGUAUCUUUUAAUUUAAUUAAAAUUGUAAUAUUAAUUUAAUUACAAUCUUAAUUCAAUUAAAAAAAAACUUUUUCACGUCAAAAAAAAAAUUCUUUUGAUUACCAAAAAUUAUUUUUUGGUAAUCAGUUUUUUUUUUUUUUUUUUUGGGUGGUUUUUUGGCUAUAGUGGCGUUUCACUAUAGGCAGCAAAAUCAAGAGCUUGAGCGUUGGACUGGAAAGCCAGUCCCAUAUGGAAACCGAAACCUAUAUCUUUUUGAUAACUGGAACGGUGAUAAGCUCUCAUUCAUGAAAGAGGUGGGGGAGAUCUUAGAGCUUGAUGGCAAAUCUGUUGUGAAUAUCCUAGUAAUUACAGAAGUGGCAGCAGAAAUUUUAACAAUGAAAAAUGGGUUGAAGUUGACAUGGCCAUCUGAAUUAUUUGUGCAUAUUCCUCCAGAGCUCUCGCAUAAUUAUGCGAGAGCUCUGGGGGAACAUGCACAGCUAAUUCAGAUUAUGCAAGAGCUCUGGGAGAACAUGCACAACUAAUCGUCAAGGUAAUUUCGCUUGCCUUUGUCAUGGAGAAUUGCGUCCAUAUAACUGUCGUAAUUAGCAUCUUGCUUGGAGAUUUGAGGCGAGAGAGCUUAAAUCUGUGACCCUAAUGGUAUCUACUGCUACACCUGCAAGUAAUAAGAUGCUUUUCAAACAUUUCUUUCAGCUAGAAUAAAGUCCCAAAAUUUGUUGGGAAUAUGUGUGGCAGGUUUUUCCUAUUUUCAUGAGGAACAGUGAGUUGUACUCUUUAAUGUUUUGCAGGUUGUAUUAUGGUUGCGUUAUGUACAAUUUGAAGCUUUAGAGUUAUUGCACUAAUUCAUGUAAAAUAUUAUGUCUA